UACGAAGGGUGCAAGCGUUGCUCGGAAUUAUUGGGCGUAAAGGGUAGGUAGGUGGUAAUAAAAGUCUGGGGUGAAAUCCCUGAGCUCAACUCAGGACGUGCCUUGGAAACUUUAUUACUAGAGUGCUGGAGAGGUUUGUAGAAUUCCCGGUGUAGCGGUGAAAUGCGUAGAGAUCGGGAGGAAUACCAGAGGCGAAGGCGACAAACUGGACAGUAACUGACACUCAACUACGAAAGCGUGGGUAGCAAACAGG
This 253-nucleotide ribosomal RNA is filed under the name uncultured prokaryote. Its description in RNAcentral is "partial 16S ribosomal RNA". It matches the Rfam family "Bacterial small subunit ribosomal RNA", at positions 524 to 776 of the family's 1533-position model. The record is from RNAcentral.